GAUGAACGCUGGCGGCGUGCCUAACACAUGCAAGUCGAGCGAAUGGAUUAAGAGCUUGCUCUUAUGAAGUUAGCGGCGGACGGGUGAGUAACACGUGGGUAACCUGCCCAUAAGACUGGGAUAACUCCGGGAAACCGGGGCUAAUACCGGAUAACAUUUUGAACCGCAUGGUUCGAAAUUGAAAGGCGGCUUCGGCUGUCACUUAUGGAUGGACCCGCGUCGCAUUAGCUAGUUGGUGAGGUAACGGCUCACCAAGGCAACGAUGCGUAGCCGACCUGAGAGGGUGAUCGGCCACACUGGGACUGAGACACGGCCCAGACUCCUACGGGAGGCAGCAGUAGGGAAUCUUCCGCAAUGGACGAAAGUCUGACGGAGCAACGCCGCGUGAGUGAUGAAGGCUUUCUGAUCGUAAAACUCUGUUGUUAGGGAAGAACAAGUGCUAGUUGAAUAAGCUGGCACCUUGACGGUACCUAACCAGAAAGCCACGGCUAACUACGUGCCAGCCGCCGCGGUAA
Molecule: ribosomal RNA, 515 nt
Filed under: uncultured bacterium
Lineage: Bacteria
Description: partial 16S ribosomal RNA
Rfam family: Bacterial small subunit ribosomal RNA
Source: RNAcentral